UACGUAGGGUGCAAGCGUUGUCCGGAAUUAUUGGGCGUAAAGAGCUCGUAGGCGGUCUGUCGCGUCGGCUGUGAAAACCCGGAGCUCAACUCCGGGCCUGCAGUCGAUACGGGCAGACUGGAGUUCGGCAGGGGAGACUGGAAUUCCUGGUGUAGCGGUGAAAUGCGCAGAUAUCAGGAGGAACACCGGUGGCGAAGGCGGUUCUCUGGGCCUGUACUGACGCUGAGGAGCGAAAGCGUGGGGAGCGAACAGG
This 253-nucleotide ribosomal RNA is filed under the name uncultured bacterium. RNAcentral describes it as "partial 16S ribosomal RNA". It matches the Rfam family "Bacterial small subunit ribosomal RNA", at positions 524 to 776 of the family's 1533-position model. The record is from RNAcentral.